CGUGAGCACGGAGGGGAGUGCAGUGGCCGGCCAUUUUUUCCCCUCCCUUCCGGAACUCUCCCCUCCAUUUUUCCCCCUCCCUCUCCCUCUCCCCUCCCCUCCCCUCUGGCAAUCUCCCCUGCCCUCCAGGUGUGCUCACAGAGGGAAGCACGCGCACAUGAGCACGGAGCGGAGCGUGGUGGCCGGCCUAGGGUGCCUGUUCGGCUUGGCCCGGCACUGAUCCGACGUGAUGCCUGCAUUUUUGCCUAGCACGUUGGAUUGCGGCGGAGCCAUCCGUGGACACCUGUGCACACUAAUAUGACUAAAUUCUCGAUACUCCAAGUUAAAAGGCUAAACCUGGGCUAUUCUGCCUUUUAUCGUGGUGUUUGGGGGAAGUAGGCGUUGUUAUAGUGCAUGGGUGGUGCAGUUCAGUCCUUGAACAAUGCCGAUGUUGCAAAGCCUCCAGACAUCUCAGGAAGCAGAGCUCUUGUCAGUCCCUUCUGGAUGAAUGACUAUACCAGGGGUGCCCAAAAGGAGGUAUGAGACCAUCCAGAUACUACAGACCCCCAUGAGGACACUGAGGAAGGAUAGCACCUCCCUUUCUGCCACUGAAACAUCGGUAAAAGCACCACUGCUAACCAGAGCGCACCCCAGCAGAACUAUAUUUAUUCCCAGCAGCCCAGAGAGGAGGCGGCCUCCUUUCUUCCAUAUCUCCACUGGCUUGGCUGAAACUGCAGACAGCUCUCCUAAGCUAAUCUUCUCAAAGAUGGGAUCUGGUGGAGAGACUUUAACAGCUGUAGAGGUUUCAGCAGGCGAGAGAUCUUCCAUGUUCAACCACUGCAGAAAGAUUUGAUUCCAAGAAAUUGUCAGUGAGCAAAACAAUAACCAGUUUACUAUUUUAUAUUUCUGCUCUUAUUCAACUGAGAAUGUAACCUCAUGUGUGCCUAGCAUUUUCUAUUUUUUAGGGUUUAUUGUGGUUAACCUCUCAUAUCCCUACUCUGUGUGCACUCCUUUCUUAACAGUGGAAUGAAGGGUAAAAUGGCUAUUUCAUGGUGUGCAAAUGUAAGAUCAUGUUUGGGAACGUGUACACAAUUCACUCAUCAUUUGGUAUUUGAAGGGUCACAUGACCUAAGACCCAACAUUUAAUAUUAUUUGCUGUAUGAUCAUUUUAUAGUUGCACAAUGCAAGAUCUUUAUGUCUACAUCAAUGGCUUGAUAUGAAUUUUUGCACUAUGAAACCACAACAACAAAACUAUGAUCAUGGACACUUCCCACCUGUGGGUGACAGUAGCUAUAGCAUCUUCUGGACUUUGUAGAGGAAGGUGUACACACUUCAUUAUUUAUAUUGUUCCACUUGACAAAGGUUAUUCUUGUCCAAAAAUUGCUACAGUAUGUGUGCCAUAAUGAAACAGCAUCAAAUCAUUAAAGAAACAGCCACCUA
Molecule: long non-coding RNA, 1419 nt
Organism: Xenopus laevis (African clawed frog)
Lineage: Eukaryota; Metazoa; Chordata; Amphibia; Anura; Pipidae
Exons: 2
Source: RefSeq, a predicted model, not a curated record